UGCCAGCAGCCGCGGUAAUACGGAGGGUGCGAGCGUUAAUCGGAAUUACUGGGCGUAAAGCGCGCGUAGGCGGCUUUGUAAGUCGGAUGUGAAAUCCCCGGGCUUAACCUGGGAACUGCAUUCGAUACUGCAGAACUAGAGUAUGGUAGAGGGAAGUGGAAUUUCCGGUGUAGCGGCGAAAUGCGUAGAUAUCGGAAGGAACACCAGCGGCGAAGGCGGCGCUCUGGGGCAAUAUUGACGCUGAGGUGCGAAAGCGUGGGUAGCAAACAGGAUUAGAUA
RNAcentral lists this ribosomal RNA (279 nucleotides) under uncultured bacterium. RNAcentral describes it as "partial 16S ribosomal RNA". It matches the Rfam family "Bacterial small subunit ribosomal RNA", at positions 506 to 784 of the family's 1533-position model. The record is from RNAcentral.